GCGCACCCUUCGUCUAUCGGUUAGGACGACAGAUUCUCAUUCUGUAAAGAGGGGUUCGACUCCCCUAGGGCGUACCA
This 77-nucleotide transfer RNA is filed under the name Rhizobium leguminosarum bv. viciae. Its description in RNAcentral is "tRNA-Glu". It matches the Rfam family "tRNA". Rfam says of the family: Transfer RNA (tRNA) molecules are approximately 80 nucleotides in length. Their secondary structure includes four short double-helical elements and three loops (D, anti-codon, and T loops). Further hydrogen bonds mediate the characteristic L-shaped molecular structure. tRNAs have two regions of fundamental functional importance: the anti-codon, which is responsible for specific mRNA codon recognition, and the 3' end, to which the tRNAs corresponding amino acid is attached (by aminoacyl-tRNA synthetases). tRNAs cope with the degeneracy of the genetic code in two manners: having more than one tRNA (with a specific anti-codon) for a particular amino acid; and 'wobble' base-pairing, i.e. permitting non-standard base-pairing at the 3rd anti-codon position. Lineage: Bacteria; Pseudomonadati; Pseudomonadota; Alphaproteobacteria; Hyphomicrobiales; Rhizobiaceae. The record is from RNAcentral.